AGGCUUUCCUUCCUCUCAAGACAGGAGCAAAAUUGAUGUUGAUGAAGAAAGAUCUUGGACACACCUUGCAGAGAAUCCAUGUGAACGUAAUGUUACUUUCGGAGAUGAGAAUGUCCUUUGGUCAGAGACAGUGGGAUGAUCUUAGGAAGGAGUGGAUUGAGUUCCCAAGGAUUCAUUGUUCAUCCAAAAACUAUAGAUGAAGAUUUCAAAGGAGAAAUUAAAAUUACGGCCUACAUAAAAAGAGGAAUCAUGUGAUUUGUGUAUUUCUAUUCAAGCUUUAUGGAUGAGGAAGCCAGUCUGCUAUCAAAUAAAUGAAAACUUGCAAACUGAUCAGCACUGGGUCCUUGGUAAACAUACACUCAGCCCACACACACAUUUACAGGGAAGAUCUCUGCUUUAGCCAUACUCUUCAGCCAGCACCAGGUUCAUAAACUAAAAACCAUAACGUCAUUACCCACAGGUGUGUGAUUUCCUUAUCCAUUAUAUGGACAUAACAUGGGUCAUAGUC
Mastomys coucha (southern multimammate mouse) is the source of this 508-nucleotide long non-coding RNA. RefSeq lists it as uncharacterized. The transcript has 3 exons. The record is from RefSeq and is a predicted model, not a curated record. NCBI's taxonomy places the organism in Eukaryota, Metazoa, Chordata, Mammalia, Rodentia, Muridae.